Oncorhynchus gorbuscha (pink salmon) is the source of this 2499-nucleotide long non-coding RNA. RefSeq lists it as uncharacterized. Lineage: Eukaryota; Metazoa; Chordata; Actinopteri; Salmoniformes; Salmonidae. The record is from RefSeq and is a predicted model, not a curated record. The transcript is spliced from 2 exons.
GCCACCUGUUCUAGUUAGCUUUUUUUUGUAUUUUUUGUAUGUUUAUUUUUUAUUUUUUAUAUAUAUUUUUUUAGUAACAACAAAUCAAUACAUAAAGCACAUAUAGAUUACAAACAAUGGACAAUCGAGCUAGGGGGUACAAUAUCACCCUGUUCUAGUUAGCUAUCUAGCGUGCUCUGAACACCUGUGUGUAAGCGGAACAGGGAGGAAAUGUAGUUGGUCAACUGGAGGACAACACAGCUUGCGGAUCUGUGCACAACUUCUACAGAAAGCAGCAGAACCAAUCCCAGGUGAGGAUCCAGAUGCUCUGACCAUCUGCGUAGGAGACUGAGUGAAACUACAAGUCCAUUAAAGAAAAUGGAAUCAGCCAAGAUGGAUGGGACACUUCCAGGUGACCAUGGCAAAACCAACUGUAAUCCGGGUUGGGAAGAGGUCCGGCUGGCAUCAUCUCUCCCACUGCAAACAUCUUCCAGAGUGGAAGCCAUGGAUGAGCGAUGGGGAGGGAGAGAGAGCAGGGCCCAGAGAACAUCUGAAGGAGGAAAAAUGUCCGAGCCAAAGGACAGAAGCAGAGGGCCCAGACCAAACGGCCGGAAAGAAAGAUGAAAAAGAAGGCUCUAGCCAACGAGCAGAAGAAGGAGACAUUUCACACUCAGGUUCUAUAACUAGGAAACAGGAGAGGUGAGUCAGUCUUCAUGGUAAGAACUACCCACUCUGUGCGGUGUAAUUAUCCCAGUAGUUACCCGUUGAUAGAAUUUUUAGGAAAUGGAAGCUUGGGCAUCGUUCCCAUACUAACCUGCAUAAGCCCGAAGUCAACCCCUGCCCUGUGUCUUUGUAAUAAUGGGAUGGAAGAUAUGGGAUAUACUAGAGCUUGUUGUGUAUAUAUGGGUCAACUGAGAGAAGAAUACAGUGAUGGGAGAAGCUAUACUAAAGGGGAUUUUAGUGUGUUAGACUGACAGGUGUAAACCUUUCCAGGAUGGAGGAAGGCAUGGGAGCACCUUUUGGAUGGAUGUGGGUAUGCAGUGACAAAGGGGUACCUCACCUUACCUCCUGGAUGGGGGCGGGGGUGUUGUUAUUUGGGGAGAACAGAAAUGUACUUGUUCAGAAUUCCGGUCACUGACCUUUUCAAUGAGACCGGUUAAACCAACUCUGGGGAACUGAAGCGUGCCAAAUGACUCAUCCCAGACAAUCAGGAAGCCUAUGGUCAUGUCCUACACCCGGGUGAGAUUUUUGGUAUGUCAGUCAUACCCACCUGGGGUGUGGCUGUCCUAGGAAAGUGGGUAAAGCAAUUUAACCUACUCUUUACAGGCCCAUAUGAAUUUAACGAUCUGAGGAUUUAGCCAACUCUCAUUAGAUGUCCAAAAUCUGAAAACAGUCAUCAGCCGCCAUGAUUUGGAUUUAGAUGAUCUUUUUGUGAAGGAAGGAGGACACUGUAAUGUUCUAGGUAUUAUUGAUCCUGAACAUUGUGUUAUGCUCCUCCCUGACUCUUAGUUAAACUCUCUCAAAAUCUGAAAAAUCUGUUUUUGACAAAAUUGGUUACUGGUUUAAUGGUAAAUUUGGAAAUGUGAUGGGGAAAGUUAUGUUGACUUUGUUUUCAUUGUUUUCUCCUAUACUUGUGGGAGGUUUGGUGAUUUUGGUUACUGUUUAAAUUUGUAAGACAAUGACUAACUGCUCUUGAACAUGCAGGAGUGAUAGUGUUGGUGGAAGCUGAUAGGAACCUCAGGAGGUUCUUAUCAGGAGUUGUUUCUCCUUUUAGCAGGACAUCCCUGGGAUCAAAUGGAUCGGGGGAUUGCCAAAUCUGUUUGAUUUCAGAGGAAAAUAUUAUGAUUGAUGGUGUGAGACUCUUGGUGAGUCUCCAAGGGGGAGUGAUGGGGUCAAAUUGGGGUCAUAAUAGGGGCUGCACCAAAUGUUUGAUGUAUUAUAAUAAUUAAUUAUGCUUAUGUUUGUAUUAAUAGAAGGGUAGGGGCUAUGGGAAACCUCCUCCCCCAUAUUUAUAGGGUCCUAGACUACAGAUUAACAAUAUAUGUUCAUUGUAAGGUUUCAUUUUGUUCCACAGUCUUUUCUGGUCUCUGCCUCUUAUAAAGAAAUGGUCUGAGAGAUGUGUGAAUUAUUGCAGGGUGUCUUUGAGAAGGCACCUCUAGGCUAAAAGAGAUUAGACACAAAACUCUGCCAGGGAGUGAAAAGAGAUGAGAGACUAGUCAGACAUACCUCUAUAAAUCAACUUGGGGAGUGGACAUUUACUGCUGAGCCCUUAUAAAACACUGGAACUAUUGUAUCUCUCUUGCAAGUUUGUAUAGCUGUGUAUGCAUGGGGUUGGUCUGAUGAGUAGAAGGAAAUGACGUAUGCAGUGACAUCACUAGGGAUGGACUUCUUGCUUAAUAAAAUAACUUGGGACUUUUCCUAUUUUGCAGAACUCAGGAGAGACAUCAGUUGUAUGUGUGAUGUUUGAUCUUUGACUUUUGUAUACAGCUGUGUUUUGAUUAAAAUUGUUAUGAUUUAUAA